This 492-nucleotide ribosomal RNA is filed under the name uncultured bacterium. RNAcentral's name for it is "partial 16S ribosomal RNA". It matches the Rfam family "Bacterial small subunit ribosomal RNA", at positions 29 to 507 of the family's 1533-position model. The record is from RNAcentral.
AGUGAACGCUGGCGGUAGGCCUAACACAUGCAAGUCGAACGGCAGCACAGUAAGAUCUUGCUCUUACGGGUGGCGAGUGGCGGACGGGUGAGGAGUACAUCGCAAUCUACUUUUUCGUGGGGGAUAACGUAGGGAAACUUACGCUACUACCGCAUACGACCUACGGGUGAAAGCAGUGGAUCUUCGGACCUUGCGCGAUUGAAUGAGCCGAUGUCGGAUUAGCUAGUUGGCAGGGUAAAGGCCCACCAAGGCGACGAUCCGUAGCUGGUCUGAGAGGAUGAUCAGCCACACUGGAACUGAGACACGGUCCAGACUCCUACGGGAGGCAGCAGUGGGGAAUAUUGGACAAUGGGCGCAAGCCUGAUCCAGCCAUACCGCGUGGGUGAAGAAGGCCUUCGGGUUGUAAAGCCCUUUUGUUGGGAAAGAAAAGCAGCAGGUUAAUACCCCGCUGUUCUGACGGUACCCAAAGAAUAAGCACCGGCUAACUUCGUG